GCACUUGAUUUAGCAGCACAUAUACUAAAAUUGGAACAGUAGAAAUAAGAUGUGAUUGGCCCCUGCACAAGGAUGAUGACACUGAAAUCCAUGAAUCAUUCCAUAUUUUC
This 110-nucleotide small nuclear RNA is filed under the name Chinchilla lanigera (long-tailed chinchilla). The record is from RNAcentral. Lineage: Eukaryota; Metazoa; Chordata; Mammalia; Rodentia; Chinchillidae.